This 253-nucleotide ribosomal RNA is filed under the name uncultured bacterium. Its description in RNAcentral is "partial 16S ribosomal RNA". It matches the Rfam family "Bacterial small subunit ribosomal RNA", at positions 524 to 776 of the family's 1533-position model. The record is from RNAcentral.
GACGUAGGGGGCAAGCGUUGUUCGGAAUUAUUGGGCGUAAAGCGCUCGUAGGCGGGACAGGAAGUUCGUGUUGAAAGACCUCGGCUCAACUGAGGGACCGGCUCGAAUACUCUUGUUCUUGAGGCAAUCAGAGGGUGAUGGAAUUCCCGGUGUAGCGAUGAAAUGCGUAGAUAUCGGGAGGAACACCAGUGGCGAAGGCGAUCACCUGGGGUUGUUCUGACGCUGAGGAGCGAAAGCUAGGGGAGCAAACGGG